AUGGAUUGGAAUCCAAAUAUACUCUCUUGGAACGUGAUGGGUCUUAAUAACCCUGCUAAAAGAAACGCGGUAAGGGAGUUUGUAAUAGAUGCUAGAGUGAACUUGGUGUGUCUCCUUGAGACGAAACUACAUGUACUGGAUCAAUACUUGGUGAUGCAAUGUAUUGGGCCAUCGUUUGAUGGCUUUGCUUACCUGCCGGUGAUCGACACGAGGGGUGGUAUUUUGCUCGCGUGGGACAGUUCUUUCAUGGAGAUUGAUAACUUCUCCUGGGACUCUAACUUCCUUACGGGGCGUGUGCAUAACAAAGAUGGAUGGGAGUGGUGGUUAUCCGUGGUCUAUGGCCCACAAGGGGAU
This 354-nucleotide ribosomal RNA is filed under the name Triticum aestivum (bread wheat). Its description in RNAcentral is "partial small subunit ribosomal RNA". Lineage: Eukaryota; Viridiplantae; Streptophyta; Magnoliopsida; Poales; Poaceae. The record is from RNAcentral.